This 206-nucleotide ribosomal RNA is filed under the name uncultured bacterium. RNAcentral describes it as "partial 16S ribosomal RNA". It matches the Rfam family "Bacterial small subunit ribosomal RNA", at positions 568 to 774 of the family's 1533-position model. The record is from RNAcentral.
UGCGUAGGUGGCGCUGUAAGUGGGGUGUGAAAUCCCGGGGCUUAACCCCGGGACUGCAUUCCAUACUGCGGUGCCUGAGGACUGGAGAGGAGACUGGAAUUUACGGUGUAGCAGUGAAAUGCGUAGAGAUCGUAAGGAAGACCAGUGGCGAAGGCGGGUCUCUGGACAGUUCCUGACACUGAGGCACGAAGGCCAGGGAGCAAACG